This 828-nucleotide unclassified non-coding RNA is filed under the name Hevea brasiliensis (rubber tree). The record is from RNAcentral. Lineage: Eukaryota; Viridiplantae; Streptophyta; Magnoliopsida; Malpighiales; Euphorbiaceae.
AGUUUCUCUUAUAUAAACAAACCACCCUCUAUUCACUCUCUCUCACAAAACCCUUUUGGCUGUUUUGUCAGUUCUCAGCAAAUCACUCUCAAGAAACCAACACAACUUUCCAAUCCAUGGCUCUUUUCAAAUUUCCUUUGCUUCUCUUUCUCUCCUCUUUCUUUCUCCACGCAGCACUAGGUGAGAUUGUUUGCGAGAAUUUGCCGAAGGAUGUAUGCGCAUUUUCUAUAGCAUCAUCUGGGAAGAGGUGCUUGCUGGAGACUUAUGCGAGGAGAGAUGGGAAGGUGGAGUACCAGUGCAGGACAUCAGAGGUUAUUGUUGAGCGAAUGGCAGAUUAUAUAGAGACAGAUGAGUGUGUAAGAGAUUGUGGGGUAGACAGAAACUCUGUUGGUAUUUCUUCUGAUGCACUUCUUGAGCCUCAUUUUACUGCCAAGCUUUGCUCUCCUUCUUGUUACCAGAAAUGCCCCAACAUCGUCGACCUUUACUUCAAUUUGGCUGCUGGCGAAGGUGCAUUUUUGCCAGACCUGUGUGAUGCUGCGAGGACCAAUCCCCGCCGUUCCAUGAUUCAGCUGAUGAGCUCAGGUGCAACCCCUAGUCCUAUUGCCAGCGACUCAUCAACUUCUUUCAUUGGCGCUCCUGCUUCUGCUCCUAUGUAAUUUCAUCAUAAUAUCAUAUAAUUUUUUAUUCCAAAUUUAUUAGUGUAAAGCCAAUCAGUAAUAAAUUUGAGUUGAGAAUUGGGAUUGAGAGGCAAUUUUGGAUUUUCCAUUUGCUGCUGUUGGGUUUGUUGAGGACUAUAUCAUUCUUAUUUUAUAUUAAUAUUAAUACCAA